This 22-nucleotide microRNA is filed under the name Marchantia polymorpha subsp. ruderalis. The record is from RNAcentral. Lineage: Eukaryota; Viridiplantae; Streptophyta; Marchantiopsida; Marchantiales; Marchantiaceae.
UGGAUUCCUGUAAGCAUGAACU